GUUGCUUCUUACAGGUGAACUCUCUCUCAUAUACAAAUGGGAUGUUCAUGUUAUGAAGCAUAGAUUAAUGGGUUUAUUUCACCUUUGCCAGUUUUAAACAGCGCUGUGUAUUCUUUUGUUGCACUGUGCUACCUGUCUCCUGGUAUAUUU
Pistacia vera is the source of this 150-nucleotide small nucleolar RNA. RefSeq annotates it as small nucleolar RNA snoR137. NCBI's taxonomy places the organism in Eukaryota, Viridiplantae, Streptophyta, Magnoliopsida, Sapindales, Anacardiaceae. The transcript has a single exon. The record is from RefSeq and is a predicted model, not a curated record.